GAUGAACGCUAGCUACAGGCUUAACACAUGUAAGUCGAGGGGUAACGAGAGGAAAGCUUGCUUUCCUUGUCGACGACCGGCGCACGGGUGAGUAACGCGUAUCCAACCUGCCCCCAACUAGGGAAUAACCUUGCGAAAGUACGACUAAUACCCUAUAAUUUCCUCAGAUGUCAUCUGACGAGGAAUAAAGAUUUAUCGGUUGUGGAUGGGGAUGCGUCGUAUUAGCUUGUUGGCGGGGUAAUGGACAACCAAGGCAACGAUAAGUAGGGGUUCUGAGAGGAAGGUCCCCCAAAUUGGAACUGAGACACGGUCCAAAGUCCUACGAGAGGCAGCAUUGAGGAAUAUUGGUCAAUGGGCGGAAGCCUGAACCAGCCAAUUAGCGUGCAGGAUGACGGCCCUAUGGGUUGUAAACUGCUUUUAUACAGGAAUAAAGUUAGCCACGUGUGGUUAUUUGUAGGUACUGUAUGAAUAAGGACCGGCUAAUUCCGUGCCAGCAGCCGCCGUAA
Molecule: ribosomal RNA, 506 nt
Filed under: uncultured bacterium
Lineage: Bacteria
Description: partial 16S ribosomal RNA
Rfam family: Bacterial small subunit ribosomal RNA
Source: RNAcentral